GAUGAACGCUGGCGGCGUGCCUAAUACAUGCAAGUCGAGCGAACAGACGAGGAGCUUGCUCCUCUGACGUUAUCGGCGGACGGGUGAGUAACACGUGGAUAACCUACCUAUAAGACUGGGAUAACUUCGGGAAACCGGAGCUAAUACCGGAUAAUAUAUUGAACCGCAUGGUUCAAUAAUGAAAGACGGUUUUGCUGUCACUUAUAGAUGGAUCCGCGCCGCAUUAGCUAGUUGGUAAGGUAACGGCUUACCAAGGCAACGAUGCGUAGCCGACCUGAGAGGGUGAUCGGCCACACUGGAACUGAGACACGGUCCAGACUCCUACGGGAGGCAGCAGUAGGGAAUCUUCCGCAAUGGGCGAAAGCCUGACGGAGCAACGCCGCGUGAGUGAUGAAGGUCUUCGGAUCGUAAAACUCUGUUAUUAGGGAAGAACAAAUGUGUAAGUAACUAUGCACGUCUUGACGGUACCUAAUCAGAAAGCCACGGCUAACUACGUG
Molecule: ribosomal RNA, 497 nt
Filed under: uncultured bacterium
Lineage: Bacteria
Description: partial 16S ribosomal RNA
Rfam family: Bacterial small subunit ribosomal RNA
Source: RNAcentral